CCUACGGGAGGCAGCAGUGAGGAAUAUUGGUCAAUGGGCGGGAGCCUGAACCAGCCAAGCCGCGUGAGGGAAGAAGGUACAGCGUAUCGUAAACCUCUUUUGUCAGGGAACAAAGUCGGGGACUCGUCCCCCGAUGCGUGUACCUUAAGAACAAGCAUCGGCUAACUCCGUGCCAGCAGCCGCGGUAAUCCGGGGGAUGCGAGCGUUAUCCGGUGUUUUUGGGUUAAAGGGGUGCGCAGGCGGCCUGUUAAGUCAGCGGGAAAAGCCCGGGGCUCAACCCCGGCGAGCCGUUGAAACUGGGGGGCUGGAGUGGGAGAGAGGUACGCGGAAUGCGCGGUGUAGCGGUGAAAUGCUUAGAUAUCGCGCAGAACCCCGAUUGCGAAGGCAGCGUACCGG
This 396-nucleotide ribosomal RNA is filed under the name uncultured bacterium. RNAcentral describes it as "partial 16S ribosomal RNA". It matches the Rfam family "Bacterial small subunit ribosomal RNA", at positions 338 to 732 of the family's 1533-position model. The record is from RNAcentral.